UUUGGUCCUCGGUAGUGGUUUCCGGAAAGUUUGUUAAUUAAAUUUGCCGUGAACUUCGAUCGAUGAUCCAA
This 71-nucleotide non-coding RNA is filed under the name unclassified sequences. The record is from Rfam.